RNAcentral lists this ribosomal RNA (373 nucleotides) under uncultured organism. Its description in RNAcentral is "partial 16S ribosomal RNA". It matches the Rfam family "Bacterial small subunit ribosomal RNA", at positions 527 to 896 of the family's 1533-position model. The record is from RNAcentral.
GUAGGUGGCAAGCGUUGUCCGGAAUUAUUGGGCGUAAAGCGCGCGCAGGCGGUCCUUUAAGUCUGAUGUGAAAGCCCACGGCUCAACCGUGGAGGGUCAUUGGAAACUGGGGGACUUGAGUACAGAAGAGGAAAGCGGAAUUCCAAGUGUAGCGGUGAAAUGCGUAGGGAUUUGGAGGAACACCAGUGGCGAAGGCGGCUUUCUGGUCUGUAACUGACGCUGAGGCGCGAAAGCGUGGGGAGCAAACAGGGAUUAGAUACCCUGGUAGUCCACGCCGUAAACGAUGAGUGCUAAGUGUUAGGGGGUUUCCCGCCCCUUAGUGCUGCAGCUAACGCAUUAAGCACUCCGCCUGGGGAGUACGGCCGCAAGGCUG